UACGUAGGGGGCAAGCGUUGUCCGGAAUCAUUGGGCGUAAAGCGCGUGUAGGCGGCUCAGUAAGUCUGUUCUGAAAGUCCAAGGCUCAACCUUGGGAUGCGGAUGGAUACUGCUGAGCUCGAGUCCGGAAGAGGCGAGUGGAAUUCCUGGUGUAGCGGUGAAAUGCGCAGAUAUCAGGAGGAACACCAAUGGCGAAGGCAGCUCGCUGGGACGUGACUGACGCUGAGACGCGAAAGCGUGGGGAGCAAACAGG
This 253-nucleotide ribosomal RNA is filed under the name uncultured bacterium. RNAcentral's name for it is "partial 16S ribosomal RNA". It matches the Rfam family "Bacterial small subunit ribosomal RNA", at positions 524 to 776 of the family's 1533-position model. The record is from RNAcentral.